ACUGAACUUGAAAGUAGAGGAAAAGAUUUUUUCCUCCCCUACACCUGAAAUCCAUUUACUUUCUGGGAGAAGGCCAAGAGACCCUCUGCCAACAAGCCCUAACUGUGGCCUUUUAAAGAGGAAGAAGUGAAUCUGUAUAGCUGUAACGGCCAAGGGAAGUCAGGAAGGUGAAAUGCAGUGAUGCCAGAUGGAAUUUGGCUAGCAGAGAAUCUUCGUGGUUGGUAAGAGUUGAUAAACAACAGCACUGGUUACGUCCAACCCUCUGCCCACUACAAGUGCCUGAACCUGUGCAACUGACUGUGGUUGGAAAGAACACACAACUUUAUUGACUGGUCUCAUUUUAACAUUCUUGACCUUGGAUUGCAAGUGGGUCCUUCAAGAGCUGCCUGGCAACCAGGAGUUAAAUCUCCACAGUAGAUUAUACAGGGACGCUUUCUCUCUCCUCUGAAGUCUGGAAGACACUUCAAAAUAGAGCCCUAAUAGGGGCUUUUCCCCCUAAUCACUUAUCAAGAUAUUCCUCCAAAGGAAGACAACUCUUCUAAGAGAAAUUCAGAAGCCAACUAUUUAAAUAAUAAAGUUUCUGGGGCUUCCCUG
Balaenoptera acutorostrata (minke whale) is the source of this 594-nucleotide long non-coding RNA. RefSeq lists it as uncharacterized. The transcript is spliced from 3 exons. NCBI's taxonomy places the organism in Eukaryota, Metazoa, Chordata, Mammalia, Artiodactyla, Balaenopteridae. The record is from RefSeq and is a predicted model, not a curated record.